RNAcentral lists this long non-coding RNA (432 nucleotides) under Ananas comosus (pineapple). Its description in RNAcentral is "long non-coding RNA (ACOM_LNC006203)". The record is from RNAcentral. Lineage: Eukaryota; Viridiplantae; Streptophyta; Magnoliopsida; Poales; Bromeliaceae.
UAGAUUUUUAAAAAUGAUAUUUAGUUUGAUGUGUUUAGGUUAUACUAUAGCAAUUGAAAUUACGUUCAAAUUGAUCAUAAUUCCAACUGUGACGGUCGGAGAGAUUAACUUUUUUUUAAAAAAAAACUCAUCUCCCUAAUUAUUUUUUAAAUGAAAAAUAUAUUUAUUUUCUAUUUUGGAAGUAAUCUAACCACCAUAAAUAUAAAAUAAUAAUAUUUUUCAAAUGCACUUCUUAACUAUAUCCAACCAAAUAAAUAAUUUAUACUUGCAGUGCGUUCUACUGUAUCCAACCAAACGAAAUAUGUAUAGUUGUAACCACAGAAUCUCUAAGUGCAUAUAUCUUUAAUUAUACGGUAUUUCUAAUUAUAUCCAACCAAACGGUCCGCAAAGUAGAUCAAUAUUUUUGUUUCGAUAAAAACUUCCUUAAAACAC